AAAUACUCGUAAUAUUGCUUCUUGUUUCUCACACCGCCCUCAUAAGAUCAGAAGAAGGGAGAAAAAGCUAUGGCUUUGCUGCUGGUUCUUCAUGGUGAGAUGAUAACAAGUCAACUAGAUUGUUGUUGCAUUUACUAAUAAACUUAAAGUGGGAUUGUUUGAUGACGAUUCUUAUCGACUAUCGAUUCCCCCAAAAUGAUGAAACUUUGGGGAAAUCCUGAAGUGAUUCAAAGUAAAGCUUAAGGUUUUGUGCAUCAUUAGAUUUUAGGAGGUUCGACUCAAAAUAACAAUGCAUAUGUCCGCUAGGGUAGCUCAUUCUAUAGAAUCCAAUGGUUCAAGUAACUCUACCUUUCAAUGUUCAUGGGAUUUUUGAAUGAGUGGAAAUAUGAUGCAAUUGUAUGGUUUAUGAAUUUGUUUGACUUGUGA
This is a long non-coding RNA of Impatiens glandulifera, 426 nucleotides long. RefSeq lists it as uncharacterized. NCBI's taxonomy places the organism in Eukaryota, Viridiplantae, Streptophyta, Magnoliopsida, Ericales, Balsaminaceae. The transcript has 2 exons. The record is from RefSeq and is a predicted model, not a curated record.